Phlebotomus papatasi is the source of this 1149-nucleotide long non-coding RNA. RefSeq lists it as uncharacterized. NCBI's taxonomy places the organism in Eukaryota, Metazoa, Arthropoda, Insecta, Diptera, Psychodidae. The record is from RefSeq and is a predicted model, not a curated record. The transcript is spliced from 3 exons.
GCAUCGAAAAGUGAGGUUAUGUGAUUUUGUUUACAAAUGAGUGCUGUGAAAAAGUUCUGUUUUUAAAGUAUUUUGCUGUAAAAAAUGUGUAAAAUAGUGAAUCAUUUGUGUCUAAAUUGACGAAGGAUGAGACAAAGCUGCCCAAGAAUGGAUCAAAGCCUCUGUAACUGCAGGAUAUGUGUGGCACAGAAACGAAAACACAGAGUUCUCAUCCGGUCUCGCUUUGUUGUUGUUUGGUAGUACAUAUUCCACGUAAAUUGGCUGAAGGCAGGCUAUGCAGAUGUCAGGGGGGGAACCCUGUGCUUACAGAUGGAAGAGAAUACGGCUCAAGGCUGGUUAAGCCUUUACAGAUGAAAAGCAAACCUUUGCGGCGAUGCCGGCACUUCAACAUGUCGAAAAAUGCGAAAAAUGAAUAAUUAUAGGCAAAAUCAGACGAAGGAUCUGCACAUAGGGAACUCAAAUUGAGCCCACCUUUAGAGGAGUGAAGAAAAAAGUGAUCGGAGGAGGAGUUUCGAAGAAUAUUGGUGCUAUCACUGGCACUCACAACUCAAUCCGAAUUUGUUUCCACUGCCCAAUUGCUCUGUCUUUAGUUCUGUCCAGAUAUCCCUCUGUUAAGACAUUGUUGACAUCAGAUGUCCGUGCAAUCUUCCGGUUGCUUCCAAGUGUACGGAGAUCCCGAUACAACAGCUACACAGGAUGUCUGAACAGACCACUAAUCCUGGAAGACUUUUCUGGCCACUCACGCGUUCCAUGGGGCUUCUGAGACACUGCUGGAUGUCAAUUGGAAACGAAUGAUAUUUUUGGACUCGAUACUGGACAAGGCCUUUUGAUCUUGAUAUAAUUAGAACUAGAAAUAUCUCAGAAAAAUUAGUUGCUGUGACGUCGUAGACAUUGACUGAGUUUCCUAGUGAUGUUAUUGGAAUUUGUCUUUCCCAUGAACACGACACUGGAUGAACGAAACCUUGUUUCGGGUACUCUGGGAUCAUUCUGCCACAAGAGUUCAAAUCCACCAAAAAUAUGAGCAAGAGCUUCCGGAAAUCUUCAAACAUUUAUAUUUGUAUGAACUCUUAAAACUCCUCUAUUUACCAUAUUGUGUAGAUUUUAAUUUAAUGAUGUUAAAAAAAAUAAAGUAAUGUCUUUUCCCUGGAA